Molecule: ribosomal RNA, 349 nt
Filed under: Salmonella enterica
Lineage: Bacteria; Pseudomonadati; Pseudomonadota; Gammaproteobacteria; Enterobacterales; Enterobacteriaceae
Also listed under: 1 other name
Description: partial 23S ribosomal RNA
Rfam family: Bacterial large subunit ribosomal RNA
Source: RNAcentral
GGGUUGUGAGGUUAAGCGACUAAGCGUACACGGUGGAUGCCCUGGCAGUCAGAGGCGAUGAAGGGCGUGCUAAUCUGCGAUAAGCGCCGGUAAGGUGAUAUGAACCGUUAUAACCGGCGAUACCCGAAUGGGGAAACCCAGUGUGACUCGUCACACUAUCAUUAACUGAAUCCAUAGGUUAAUGAGGCGAACCGGGGGAACUGAAACAUCUAAGUACCCCGAGGAAAAGAAAUCAACCGAGAUUCCCCCAGUAGCGGCGAGCGAACGGGGAGGAGCCCAGAGCCUGAAUCAGCAUGUGUGUUAGUGGAAGCGUCUGGAAAGGCGCGCGAUACAGGGUGACAGCCCCGUA